GAUGAACGCUGGCGGCGUGCCUAAUACAUGCAAGUCGAGCGAAUGGAUUAAGAGCUUGCUCUUAUGAAGGUAGCGGCGGACGGGUGAGUAACACGUGGGUAACCUGCCCAUAAGACUGGGAUAACUCCGGGAAACCGGGGCUAAUACCGGAUAACAUUUUGAACCGCAUGGUUCGAAAUUGAAAGGCGGCUUCGGCUGUCACUUAUGGAUGGACCCGCGUCGCAUUAGCUAGUUGGUGAGGUAACGGCUCACCAAGGCAACGAUGCGUAGCCGACCUGGGAGGGUGAUCGGCCACACUGGGACUGAGGCACGGCCCAGACUCCUACGGGAGGCAGCAGUAGGGAAUCUUCCGCAAUGGACGAAAGUCUGACGGAGCAACGCCGCGUGAGUGAUGAAGGCUUUCGGGUCGUAAAACUUUGUUGUUAGGGAAGAACAAGUGCUAGUUGAAUAAGCUGGCACCUUGACGGUACCUAACCAGAAAGCCACGGCUAACUACGUGCCAGCCGCCGCGGUAA
Molecule: ribosomal RNA, 515 nt
Filed under: uncultured bacterium
Lineage: Bacteria
Description: partial 16S ribosomal RNA
Rfam family: Bacterial small subunit ribosomal RNA
Source: RNAcentral